GCUCUCUUCAGUGGAUUCUAACACUCAAAUGCAAGUACAAGCACAGCUCCGGUCUCGAGCACAUAUGGGAUCCCGGAGAAAACAACUGUAACAUCACUCGUAGAAGCGGAAUGGAAAUGGAUGGCAUGGGAAAAAUGGAGGGCGGCUCUGAAGGGGAGCACGUACAGGUGUCCCCUCACACCAAUGUAGACAGUCCCAGAUAGGGCAUAAGAUUGAGGGAAGAAGCAGACCCAGUCGGGAUGUUAUGACUGGAUUUUGGACAAUCUCUUAGUAACAUCUGAAGUCGAUGUCCCCUUCCACCAUGCAUCGCGCACAUAUUUCUUCUUCCUCUCAGGGUCAAAAUUUUGUGCCCUCUCAGUGAGCCUUCGCACUCCUCAACUGCAUGAUGCAUCGUCUUCAGAUUUGAGCCAUGCGAGAGCUGGAGAGGAAGGUUGAGGGUUGCUUCUCGUGUUGAAGGAAGUGGCAGAACCUGGUGCAAAGUCAGGCAGGCUAAACAUUAUGUCAUUGUUCACUGCUGCUCGAAGUAGCCGCCACCUCUCUGCCAUGAGGUGGUAGCUCAUCUUAAAUAUGAUGACGGUGAACAAUGACAGAUCAUGGUCUGCAGGUGAGGAAAUGGGGGUAUAUUGUGGACAGUAGUAAGUUAGCUAAGGACCAAUACCUCCAGUAGUUCGAUUUACUCAUUCACCAUAGAGUGUCUGACAAAUCGAUCAGGGUACGUUGUUCGGCUGAGGUGACUACCUCAAUGUACAAGGGCCUUUUAAAUUGAGGUAGUUAGUCAUCAAGGGGCACGACUGCAAAGAGUUUAUCAAGAACCACUAUAAGACUACGAAUUUUAGACGUGAAGAAGCCAGCAGAAUAUGAAGAUUCAUUUUAUUUCUGCUCUUUAUAGCUACUUCCACUAGAUUCCAACUUAAUAUUAUUGUAUUUGUAACAUGCUAACAUGAUAUGCUAUCUUUUGAGUUGCUUAUAUAAGAAUGAA
Argentina anserina (silverweed cinquefoil) is the source of this 979-nucleotide long non-coding RNA. RefSeq lists it as uncharacterized. The record is from RefSeq and is a predicted model, not a curated record. NCBI's taxonomy places the organism in Eukaryota, Viridiplantae, Streptophyta, Magnoliopsida, Rosales, Rosaceae. The transcript is spliced from 3 exons.